This 343-nucleotide RNase P RNA is filed under the name chicken gut metagenome. RNAcentral describes it as "Bacterial RNase P class A". It matches the Rfam family "Bacterial RNase P class A". From Rfam's summary of the family: Ribonuclease P (RNase P) is a ubiquitous endoribonuclease, found in archaea, bacteria and eukarya as well as chloroplasts and mitochondria. Its best characterised activity is the generation of mature 5'-ends of tRNAs by cleaving the 5'-leader elements of precursor-tRNAs. The record is from RNAcentral.
UAAACCGGACGGUUGCGGGCAGAGUGCCGCGAGGCCCUGUCUGAGGAAAGUCCGGGCUUCACAGGGCAAGGGUGCCGGAUAACGUCCGGCGGAGGCGACUCCAGGGACAGUGCAACAGAAAGAAACCGCCUGCCGUGCGGCAGGUAAGGAUGGAAAGGCGAGGUAAGAGCUCACCGGCGGCCUGGCGACUGGCCGGCCAUGUAAACCCCACCCGAAGCAACACCACAAAGGAAGGAAUCAAGCCGGCCCGGCGCUCCUUCGGGUAGGUGGCUAAAGGCGUGUGGUAACAUGCGUCUCAGAUAGAUAACCGUUCAAGACAGAACCCGGCUUACAGGUUUACUCA